GCCGCGCAGAAGCAUAGUCCCGCCCUGGGAUAAACAAGCUUUACGUCCGCUCGGCAACACCCAACCCCGCACACCCGCGGCAAACCCUAGCGCCUGCGAAAUGCGCGUGCGCGCUUCCCGCUUGCGGCAGGGGCAAAGUCCAUUUGAGACUCCCACGCUCAGAAUUUGGCAGAGAAGAUGAGGUAGAGGGGCCAUGGGAACUUCCAGGGUGGAAGUGGGAAGAAGGAAGAAGGAGACAACUGAGAUGAACCUCACCUGUGUAUUGUUGGGUCACUCCUGCUUCUCCCACUACUGCAGCGUCUGCGCAGCUUCCGGGACAUGUUUUAUUUCUCCAAUUCAACAGGAGAGAUCAACAACUGGACCCAGUUUGUGGAGACUGGAAAACAGGAUUUCCUUUUGUUUUAUGACCUCAGUUUCCACCUCCUCCACCUCUGUGGCCUCUAGUUCCUCUUUCCUUUGUCAGGGAAGGUGUCACCUAUGGGUUUCCUCCUCAAAAUUGCAAAGGAAAUUCAAGAUAUAGUUCCUUUUCAGUCUGCAUCUUGGCUUCGUGACAAAACUCAGCUAUUGUUUUGAAGAGAAAUAUAAAAUGGAAUAGUAAAAAUUGAGAUCUAUGCAAGAA
Molecule: non-coding RNA, 619 nt
Organism: Ictidomys tridecemlineatus (thirteen-lined ground squirrel)
Lineage: Eukaryota; Metazoa; Chordata; Mammalia; Rodentia; Sciuridae
Source: RefSeq, a predicted model, not a curated record